Camellia sinensis is the source of this 333-nucleotide non-coding RNA. NCBI's taxonomy places the organism in Eukaryota, Viridiplantae, Streptophyta, Magnoliopsida, Ericales, Theaceae. The record is from RefSeq and is a predicted model, not a curated record.
AGCUUGAGCCUAAAAUUCAGAACUUGACUACAACUGAGGGUCAAUUGUUUGCUUUAUUUUCCAAUUACUUGGCCGUUUUUGUAGAGCUCACACAUGCAAUCGAUGAAAUAGCAGAGAUUUAUACAAAAUCUACAUUUGAUUUCAUUGAUGCAAAAGACAAGAAGAUGUGAUGUCAUAUUUGAGGGAAAUGAUUCUUCAACGUUACAAGCUUGCUUAGUUUGAGUUUUUUUAAUGCUUGAGACUAUGUAUAUGGAGAGCAGAUAAUUAUAUGUGUUAUAAACAAAUAUAGGAUUAAGUGAAGGAUGAAGUUGACACAAUAGAAGUGACUAGAUU